GACGAACGCUGGCGGCGUGCUUAACACAUGCAAGUCGAACGGAAAGGCCCUGCUUUUGUGCCUUGCUCGAGUGGCGAACGUGUGAGUAACACGUGAGUAACCUGCCCUUGACUUUCGGAUAACUUCAGGAAACUCGGGCUCAUACCGGAUAGGAGCUCCUGCUCCAUGGUGGGCGUUGGAAAGUUUCGGCGGUUCGGGAUGGACUCGCGGCUUAUCAGCUUGUUGGUGUGGUAGUGGCUUACCAAGGCUUUGACGGGUAGCCGGCCUGAGAGGGUGACCGGCCACAUUGGGACUGAGAUACGGCCCAGACUCAUAAGGGAGGCAGCAGUGGGGAAUAUGGCAUAAUGGGCGGAAGCCUGAUGCAGCAACGCAGCGUGCGGGAUGACGGCCUGCGGGUUGUAAACCGCUUUCGCCUGUGACGAAGAGUGAGUGACGGUAAUGGGUAAAGAAGCAACGGCUAACUACGUG
This 468-nucleotide ribosomal RNA is filed under the name uncultured bacterium. RNAcentral describes it as "partial 16S ribosomal RNA". It matches the Rfam family "Bacterial small subunit ribosomal RNA", at positions 28 to 507 of the family's 1533-position model. The record is from RNAcentral.